AGCGGAGGGCAACCCCCGAAUCUUUAAACCUCCGCGCCAGAACGCGCUAGGUACCCGGGACAGGAUGGGGGCGGAAAGGCCUCCCACGCCCCAACGGCGGGCUAGGACCGCACAGCGGAGAGGAGCGUGGGAGUUUUCGCCCCAGCCCCUCGGGGCGGUCGGGACGAGCGACCAAGGCACACCCGGCCGGUCACGCCAACCCCAAUUCCCCAUCUCGGAGGGAAGACGCUCACUCGAGCGAGCGGGACCGACCCCGGCGCCUGACCGCCGGGGCCCUCGCUGGCCCACACGUCGAGGGGACCCCUCUCGAGCCGCCGGGGCAGGGGCCUCGGCACCGCCGACCCCGCCCCACCGGUGGGGACGAGGCGGUUCGGCCGCGUCGGCGAGCACGGACCCGGAGAACCUAAAAGACACCCGACCGCGGGCUGAGGCGGAGCGGAGGAAGGGGGCAAAGGGGAGGAGAGGCACCGCCGCCUUAAGCUCCCGCCCCGCCGCUCCGGCCGAGGGAAUCACCGACCCUUUCCUCCCCCAUGGGAAGCCGGGACCCUGACGACCGAAGGCGGGGAACCGGGCACCCGGGGCCCCAACCGCCCACACGGAGAGGGUGGGGCCCGGCGACGACGCCGGGUCUCUUCCCCUUUUCGCCACCUCCCCCCGAAGCCCGCACAUGCAGCGGCGGGGGCACGACCGCGCCGGGGCGGCGGGAUCGUGGUCAAGCACUUCGAGCAGCAUUCCUCUCUCGCUCGAAAACCCCCCGCCGCGGGGGGACUCGGCAUGCGCACGGGCCGCCGACGGCGUCCGGGACGCCGCCGGGGUACCGGCGGGGCCGGGCGGCGCCGGAGGGAACCCACCGAACGCCGCCCGGUCGGCCGCAGCCGCCACGACGCCUCGAGCCCGGGACCGGGGAACGACACCGCCCUGGGCCGCGGCACGAGGCACGCGACCCGGCGGCGCCGCCCUCGGCGCCCGAGACCCAGGGGCGCGCGCAAACACUGGACCGAAACCGACGCCCCGCUGGAGUCUCUUCCGGAGAGGGGCUAAGGCAGGGUUGCAGGGGGGCCGGCUGCCGCUCGCCGAGCCCCUCCCAAGCCGCGGCUCUCCCUCGCUCGCGUUAGAGCCUGGUUUCCCUCCGGGCGGCUCCCGCACCCUCACGUGGCCGAAGCCAACCCCCCGACGCGGGAGGCGGCGCGGGCGGACGAGCCGCAAUCGGGCGCAGGGCAGGGGGAAGCGGAGGCGCGCGAGGUGGCGGGGGAAGGAGACCCUCCCCCUCCGCCUCGACACACCGCAACGACCACCCCCCGACCCCCGCUCGUCAAGGAACCGGCCGCGGGUGUCGCGGGCGCACACACACGCCGCCGCGACUCUCCCGCGGCCGUCGCGGAAAACCGCCCGGCGGGCCCCCCCCCCCACGGGAGGGAAACUCCACCGGACGCGGCCUGACGACGGGACGGGCCCCGCUGCGUCUGAGAGCACGGCGGGCUCUCUCUCGGUAAUGAUCCUUCCGCAGGUUCACCUACGGAAACCUUGUUACGACUUUUACUUCCUCUAG
This is a long non-coding RNA of Monodelphis domestica (gray short-tailed opossum), 1549 nucleotides long. The record is from Ensembl. NCBI's taxonomy places the organism in Eukaryota, Metazoa, Chordata, Mammalia, Didelphimorphia, Didelphidae.